Molecule: non-coding RNA, 418 nt
Organism: Paramuricea clavata
Lineage: Eukaryota; Metazoa; Cnidaria; Anthozoa; Malacalcyonacea; Plexauridae
Source: the annotation of a GenBank genome assembly
CUUAUACGUUAACGCAAAGUGUGACCGAAGUGCAAGACGCGUUUAGAGUACGAUUUCCUGAUCGGAAUCCACCUAACAAAAAGACGAUUCUGAAAAACUUUCGUAAAUACCACAACACAGGAACAAGCUUAAACCGCAACAAGGGCAAUUCGGGCAGGCGAAGAACUGCUCGAAGUGAAGAAAACGUUGCUGCUGUGAGAGAUCUGCUCGAGGAAACCCCACGAGGUGUUAGCGCUCGUCGUAAUGCUGUUGAAGUUUCAAAAUCAAGUUUCAACAGGAUUACAAGAUUAGAUUUACGAUGCCAUCCUUACCGAAUGCACGUACUGAACGAGCUAUUGCCAUGCAGAUGACUUGCCACGUCGACUACACUAUGCCCAAUAGUUUAAUCAACGCUGUCGAAACCCCAAUUUUUUGCAAA